UACGUAGGGCGCGAGCGUUGUCCGGAAUUAUUGGGCGUAAAGAGCUCGUAGGCGGCCUGUCGCGUCGGUUGUGAAAGCCCGGGGCUCAACCCCGGGUCUGCAGUCGAUACGGGCAGGCUAGAGUUCGGUAGGGGAGAUCGGAAUUCCUGGUGUAGCGGUGAAAUGCGCAGAUAUCGGGAAGAACACCCGUGGCGAAGGCGGCUCUCUGGGACGGUACUGACGCUGAGACGCGAAAGCGUGGGGAGCGAACGGG
This 253-nucleotide ribosomal RNA is filed under the name uncultured bacterium. RNAcentral describes it as "partial 16S ribosomal RNA". It matches the Rfam family "Bacterial small subunit ribosomal RNA", at positions 524 to 776 of the family's 1533-position model. The record is from RNAcentral.